Non-coding RNA from Triticum aestivum (bread wheat), 134 nucleotides. Lineage: Eukaryota; Viridiplantae; Streptophyta; Magnoliopsida; Poales; Poaceae. The record is from Rfam.
UAUGUACUCCCUCCGUUCGAAAAUACUUGUCAUUAAAAUAGAUAAAAAGGGUGUAUCUAGAACUAAUAUACGUCUAGAUACAUCCCUUUUUACUCAUUUUGAUGACAAGUAUUUCCGGACGGAGGGAGUAUAUU